ACUCCUACGGGAGGCAGCAGUGGGGAAUAUUGGACAAUGGGGGCAACCCUGAUCCAGCAAUGCCGCGUGUGUGAAGAAGGCCUUCGGGUUGUAAAGCACUUUCGGUGGGGACAAACAAGGCGGAGCUAACAUCUCCGUCUCUGAUGGUACCCAAAGAAGAAGCACCGGCUAACUCUGUGCCAGCAGCCGCGGUAAUACAGAGGGUGCAAGCGUUAAUCGGAAUUACUGGGCGUAAAGGGUGCGUAGGUGGUUUGUUAAGUCAGGCGUGAAAUCCUCGGGCUCAACCUGGGAACUGCGCUUGAUACUGACAGACUCGAGUGUGGUAGAGGAUAGUGGAAUUCCCGGUGUAGCGGUGAAAUGCGUAGAUAUCGGGAGGAACAUCAGUGGCGAAGGCGGCUAUCUGGACUAACACUGACACUGAGGCACGAAAGCGUGGGUAGCAAACAGGAUUAGAUACCCUGGUAGUCCACGCCCUAAACGAUGGGUACUAGACGUCGGGAAGCUUGUCUUCUUGGUGUCGCAGCUAACGCAAUAAGUACCCCGCCUGGGGAGUACGGUCGCAAGAUUAAAACUCAAAUGAAUUGACGG
RNAcentral lists this ribosomal RNA (588 nucleotides) under uncultured Ectothiorhodospiraceae bacterium. RNAcentral describes it as "bacterial SSU rRNA". It matches the Rfam family "Bacterial small subunit ribosomal RNA", at positions 335 to 916 of the family's 1533-position model. Lineage: Bacteria; Pseudomonadati; Pseudomonadota; Gammaproteobacteria; Chromatiales; Ectothiorhodospiraceae. The record is from RNAcentral.